GAAAUGGGGAAUGUAUCAAAGAGACAAGAACCCGACCAUAGAAAAAACAACAGCAGAAGGUCACCAACAGGUCUUCAAUGUAACAAGAAAUUCCUGCACCCAGAGGCGUCCUUAGUUGGCCCCUAAACAAAUAUAUACUAGUUCAGUGAUAAUGAACGCCAUACUAAUUUCCAAAUUGUACACAAGAAACUAAAAUUAAAAUAAUACAAGACUAACAAAGACCAGAGUCUCCUGACUUAGGACAGGCGCAAAAAUGCGGCGGGGUUAAACAUGUUUAUGAGAUCUCAACCCUCCCUCUAUACCUCUAGCC
RNAcentral lists this long non-coding RNA (310 nucleotides) under Mytilus galloprovincialis (Mediterranean mussel). Lineage: Eukaryota; Metazoa; Mollusca; Bivalvia; Mytilida; Mytilidae. The record is from RNAcentral.